GUGGAUUAGAUACCCGAGUAGUCCACGCUGUAAACGAUGAAUACUAAGUGUUGGGGAAACUCAGUGCUGCAGUUAACGCAAUAAGUAUUCCGCCUGGGGAGUAUGCACGCAAGUGUGAAACUCAAAGGAAUUGACGGGGACCCGCACAAGCGGUGGAUUAUGUGGUUUAAUUCGACGCAACGCGAAGAACCUUACCAAGCCUUGACAUCCCGAGCAAAUCUAUAGAGAUAUAGAGGAGGUUAUCUCGGUGACAGGUGGUGCAUGGUUGUCGUCAGCU
This 277-nucleotide ribosomal RNA is filed under the name uncultured bacterium. RNAcentral's name for it is "partial 16S ribosomal RNA". It matches the Rfam family "Bacterial small subunit ribosomal RNA", at positions 773 to 1060 of the family's 1533-position model. The record is from RNAcentral.